GGUAAGGCCCUUCGGGGUACACGAGCGGCGAACGGGUGAGUAACACGUGGGUGACCUGCCCUCAGCUCUGGGAUAAGCCCGGGAAACUGGGUCUAAUACCGGAUAUGACCUUGCACCGCAUGGUGUUUGGUGGAAAGUUUUUCGGCUGGGGAUGGGCCCGCGGCCUAUCAGCUUGUUGGUGGGGUGAUGGCCUACCAAGGCGGUGACGGGUAGCCGGCCUGAGAGGGCGACCGGCCACACUGGGACUGAGACACGGCCCAGACUCCUACGGGAGGCAGCAGUGGGGAAUAUUGCGCAAUGGGCGGAAGCCUGACGCAGCGACGCCGCGUGGGGGAUGACGGCCUUCGGGUUGUAAACCUCUUUCGACCGGGACGAAGCGAGAGUGACGGUACCGGUAGAAGAAGCACCGGCCAACUACGUGCCAGCAGCCGCGGUAAUACGUAGGGUGCGAGCGUUGUCCGGAAUUAUUGGGCGUAAAGAGCUCGUAGGCGGUGUGUCACGUCGAUCGUGAAAACUUGGGGCUUAACCCUGAGCGUGCGGUCGAUACGGGCAUCACUAGAGUUCGGCAGGGGAGACUGGAAUUCCUGGUGUAGCGGUGAAAUGCGCAGAUAUCAGGAGGAACACCGGUGGCGAAGGCGGGUCUCUGGGCCGAUACUGACGCUGAGGAGCGAAAGCGUGGGGAGCGAACAGGAUUAGAUACCCUGGUAGUCCACGCCGUAAACGGUGGGCGCUAGGUGUGGGGGCCAUUCCACGGUCUCUGUGCCGCAGCUAACGCAUUAAGCGCCCCGCCUGGGGAGUACGGCCGCAAGGCUAAAACUCAAAUGAAUUGACGGGG
This 835-nucleotide ribosomal RNA is filed under the name uncultured Actinomycetes bacterium. Its description in RNAcentral is "bacterial SSU rRNA". It matches the Rfam family "Bacterial small subunit ribosomal RNA", at positions 68 to 918 of the family's 1533-position model. The record is from RNAcentral. Lineage: Bacteria; Bacillati; Actinomycetota; Actinomycetes.